Molecule: non-coding RNA, 124 nt
Organism: Triticum aestivum (bread wheat)
Lineage: Eukaryota; Viridiplantae; Streptophyta; Magnoliopsida; Poales; Poaceae
Source: Rfam
UUGAUACUCCCUUCGUCCGGAAAUACUUGUCCCAGAAAUGAAGAAAAUGGAUGUAUCUAUAACUAAAAUAAGUCUAGAUACAUCUAUAUCUAGGACAAGUAUUUCCGGACGAAGGGAGUAGAUU